Molecule: transfer RNA, 87 nt
Filed under: Cordylochernes scorpioides
Lineage: Eukaryota; Metazoa; Arthropoda; Arachnida; Pseudoscorpiones; Chernetidae
Description: tRNA-Tyr
Source: RNAcentral
UCCCUCGAGCCGGAUUUGAACCAGCGACCUAAGCAUCACCGUUGUAACAUCUACAGUCCUCCGCUCUGCCAACUGAGCUAGCGAGGG